GAGUUUGAUCCUGGCUCAGGACGAACGCUGGCGGCGCGCCUAACACAUGCAAGUCGAACGGAGUUGAGAGGAGCUUGCUUUUCUUGACUUAGUGGCGAACGGGUGAGUAACGCGUGAGGAACCUGCCUCAAAGAGGGGGACAACAGUUGGAAACGACUGCUAAUACCGCAUAAGCCCACGGUCUCGCAUGAGACAGAGGGAAAAGGAGCAAUCCGCUUUGAGAUGGCCUCGCGUCCGAUUAGCUAGUUGGUGAGGUAACGGCCCACCAAAGCGACGAUCGGUAGCCGGACUGAGAGGUUGAACGGCCACAUUGGGACUGAGACACGGCCCAGACUCCUACGGGAGGCAGCAGU
Molecule: ribosomal RNA, 353 nt
Filed under: uncultured bacterium
Lineage: Bacteria
Description: bacterial SSU rRNA
Rfam family: Bacterial small subunit ribosomal RNA
Source: RNAcentral